AGAACUAACUUAAUUAAAUUAGUUUCUUACAAAAUGUGUCGGACAUUUUGAAUCUUUCAUUAUGAUUAAAAAUUAGAGUUUCUAGAGUAAUAAAGGUUUAGAAAAAAUAAAAGAAAUUUGUUUUUAGUAUUAUAUUGUGGCUAAUGAAGGAGUUAAAAAGUCCUGUAAGUUCUUCGGUAAUAUUGUAUGAGCGAUUAAAAGUAAUUUUAAGUACAGUAAAAAAGUUUCUCCUCAAUCAAGAUAAUCAAUGAACUAUCAUUUAUGCUAUCACCCCCUAGUCAUUCUUUGUGGCUGAAUUUUUAAUAAAAUAAAAGUAUAAAAAAUAAAUUUAUAAAACCCAUAAAAUAGAAAUAAAAAUAUAAAACUCAUAAAAUUAAAAUAAAAAUAUAAAACUCUAAAAAUAAAAAUAAAAAAUACAAAACUCUAAAAGUAAAACAUAAAAAUAUAUAAAUGUUCAUCUAGUCGCAAUCAAAUACCUUAUUUUCAUCAUCCAAUAUAAUGUAUAUGGCUCUUAAAGAUUGUGGCAUUGUUUUAACUAUCUAACAUUUAAUAAAUAUACAAUAAACUAUUUCCUAUGCAAUCGCCCCUGCUUAAUUCUCUUCAACAUAUAUAUAUAUUUUUUUUUCCUACUUUUUAUCUGUCCUAUUUUUUGUUAUUGAUAUUAUUAAGAUUCUUAUAUUUUUAUUUUGCUUUAUUAUUAAGGAUAAUCACUAUUAGCUAUAAAUGUUUUAUUUUGAUUAUAGUAGUAAAAUAUAUAUUGAUUAUAGUGUUUUAUAUUACUGCAUUAAUAUUAUUAUUAUUAAUAUUUAUUUCUAUUAUUAUUAAUAAUACUUAAUAGUAUUAUUAUUAUUAUUAUUAUUAUUAUUAUUAUUAUUAUUAUUAUUAUUAUUAUUAUUAUUAUUAUUAUUAUUAUGUUAUUAUUUAUACCAUUAUAGGUCUUUACACGUCAUCAGUUUAUAACUGUUUGUAAAUGUCCCGCACAAUUGUAUAUAUAUACAGUAUUAUUAAAGUGAAAAUAUAUUGAUUGAUUGAUUGAUUGAUUGAUUGAUUGAUUGUAACAAUAUACUUUGAUAAUUCUUAUUUUUAGUUAUAGCUACUAAAAUAGCAGUUUCAAAAAAGUAGCAGUAGUUUCAAAAAAGUAGCAAUGUCAGCAUCUUUUUAAACUAUUUCUUAAAUUGUUUUUUCUGUUUGGUUUUUAACAACGCUAAAAUAUUACUUAAAAUGCAUAAAUUUUCUCUAAAAGUUUUAGAGGAAAAUUAUGCAUUUUAAGUCGUAGCUACUUUUUAAAUAACUAAGUAAAAUUAUUAUUUUUUGUUUAUAUUAAGACCUAACAUCUGUUUGUUUAUGAUAGAUGUUAAGUGGUAGAUGUUAAGUGAUAGAUGUUAAGAUGCAAGUGGUAAGUUGAUUUUUUGUGACGUUUUUACUCCUUUAAAAUUUAGAUUUUCCUAAAAUAAUAAUUAAGUUAAUGGCUAUUUCUGUAAAGAUCAUUCUGUAAAUAAAAACUGCAGUGAUUUUUAAAACUAAUAGUUAUUCUUUUAGUAAUCACAAGAUAAAGUGCUAACACUGUACUUUUAGAUAUGAUUCUAAUACAUGUUUUUUUUUUUAUAAGCAUAUGAAAUUUUUGAAACAGGCUCGGGUAUGCUUAAGCAAAAAGUUAAAAGAGGCUCAAAAAUAUGCUUAAACUUAAGCAUAUUUCUAAUAAAAUGUGCUUAUUCAAUACUUUCUAAAAGUGUGCGCGUUACUAAAGGUUAUAAAAAAAAUAAAAAGUUGACUUUUGUACAGUAUAAUAAAAAAUAAAAAAUAUAUACUAUAUACAAAUGUUAUCAAUAAAAUCAAAGAUAUGAACUUCGCAUUCCUUCUCGUCCGGACCCAUAAAGGUGUCAUCUAAAAGAAUUUUGUUGGCAUCUUCAUUUAUAGCAUCAUCUACCUCCACCGGUUGAAUAUCAUUUGAUUUCCCUUGGGUUGAUCACUGCCAGGAUCAAUGAUGGAUGGUGGGGGCACUUUGUAACUAUCAAGGCCCUCUGGUUUAACAAGCGAAUCUUCUGAGCCAUCAGAAGUCAUUAAACACCCAGUCAUCGUCCAACAUUUCUUCCUUUGCUUGUCAUACUUAGAAGUGUUUAAAGCUUUCCAUGCUUCCCCUGCCCAAUGUGUAAUCAAAAUUCGACUCUCUUUUGCAGUGUAGGGCAUUUCAUUACUGAACCAUCUAUCAGAAUGAUUAUCUCUAUCAAGCCAUUAUUGAUAUUCAAGAUAUUUUGUGGAACGUCUUCCCUUCAGAAACAAUUUGCGAUAGGAUGAUUCGGCAUCUUUAAUAAUAGUUUCUUUUUUUUUAAGCCAUCGCGAAAUCUGACUUUGCGUUACACCAAACGACUAUGCUAUAGUAUCUUGAUUUGCCUCAUAACCAUAGGCGUUAAUUGCCUCUGCUUUAAAGGCAGAAGUAUGUUGGUAGUGUUUCUUACCAGCUAAUUUGCUAGCCUCUUUACUUUUUUUUAUGGCACUAACAACUUUGUUGACAAUGAUAUCAAGUACAUCUUUAACUGCUAGAGUGACAAGUUCUUUGUUACUUUGAAGAACUUGUGAUUGUGAAUGUUUACAAUCUUGUUUGCUAAUUCCGUGCAUAACUUUAACAUGAAAAGCUAGUCCUUGUUGGCAUUUGAAUAACUUUUUGCAAUGUCCGCAUUCAACACUAGUUUUGACAGCUUCUAAUGGCAAUCGGAUUGCACUCAUUUCUCCUCUGUGCAUAACAUUUUUUGUGAAACCAAACGCUGCCAAUGUAGGCUGCUUUCUCUUUAUCUUCUUUGACAUUUUUAUUACUAUUUUUAACAGUAUCUGAAAAUAAGACUUAGAAAUAAAAUAAACAUUUUGAAUAUGGUAUUAAAUAAACUACACAUUAAGAGCGAAAAAGAAAAAAAAGAGAGAGAGAAAGAAAAAAAGAGAAAGAGAAAGAAAAAAAAGAGAAAGAGAAAGAAAAAAAAAGAGAGAGAAAGAAAAAAAAAAGAAGAGAGAAAUAAAACACUGCAGAGCGACUCUUAAACUUUAUGUUUUUCUGGUCAAGUAUUGAGAUUUUGCAUUACAAUGACUUCUUUACUUCAUAAAGUCGUUGCACUGCAAAACAUAAACUUCGAUUUUUGUUGUUUUUGUAGGCUUAAAUUUAGAAAUAUAUAUAUUUAAAAAUUUUAAUAAAAUAAAAUAAAAAUCUUUUAAAUGGUUUAUCGAGGCUUAGGAAUAUGCUUACAUAUGCUUCUUUUUUUUCCAAAUCUGAGCCUCUAUAUGCUUAUAAACGUUAUGCUUAUAAAAAAAAAAACAUGUAGUUGAACAUCUGUCAGAUAUUUACCUUUUAAAUCAUAAUCUAAUUGCUCAAGCUUCUGAAAAGCUAUUUAUAAAAAUUCAACGCUUAAAAAUUAAUGUAAGAUUAAAGGUAAUUCCUGUUAUAUUUAAAAGGUAUGUUGAUGAUUGGUUCGAGUCUUUAAAGUUUAAAUUAGUUAAAAGAGAGUUCAAAUUGUUUAGUUUUUAUCUUAUGCUUAUAAUAUAUAUGCUUUAUAUCUAAAAGCUAUUGAAAUAUUUAUAGCAUUAUUUUUUAUUUAUUUUAUUAUGCUAUGGAAGACCUACCAAGCUUGAAAUUUUAACGGGUUGAAAUAUAUAGUAUGUAUAAGUAUAUCAUCUCUCGGAAUUAGGAAAACUAAAGUCUGCAAAAAAAGGUAAAAAACUAGACGACUAAACUUAUUUAAAACGCUUUUAACAAGUUUAGUUACAAGUUAAUGUUAUGUGUUGAUGUACCUUCAACCAAAUUAGUGUUAACAUUUUAGCAAAAUGUCAUAUCGCCAGUCUGUUGGAAGAACCAAAAGCUUGAUAUUUUAUUGAAUUGUUAUUUUAGUUUGUGAUAUUAUAAUUUUUAUUCACAAAAUGUUAAAUAAUUUACUUUUUAAAUUUAUUUGUCAUUGCCUUGGAUAAGAUGUUUUGUUAUUCCUUUUACAGAUUGUUAUGAGGAUUGCAAAACUUUUAAAUAUCAGAAACUGAAGAAAGCAUUGAUAAUCAGCAGAUAUCAAAAAAGCGGAAAAGUACUGAUUAUACAACUCUUUUAAAGUUGAGGAAGAAUUUUAUGUUAAUGUUAAUGCAAAAGGUAUGAAUAUUGACAGGUUUGCUAAUUUGAUGUUACAAUAAACAUGAAAUAAAGUUUGUGAAGACCUUAGUGCCAAAAAUACUUGCAUGCAUUAUUCAUGCAUGCUGUAUUAUAAUAUAGCAUGCAUGCAUGAUGCAUUCAAGUAUAAAAAAAAAAAUUACAAAUGUUUAAUUAUACAAAAAGAUUAUGGAUGUGGUACUGCAAGUAUAUUCAAUUGAUUAUGCAAGUAAGUUGUCCUACUUUACAUCUUUGAAGACUAAUAAUAAUUGUAAUGAACAUAUCUCAGACAAUAUACACUCGGAUUUAUAUUUUAGUUAAAUAAUCACCACUUCCACAGCCACCUUGUCUCAAGCAUUAAAUGGCAUUCUAAGAUAUCUUUAUUCAAAUUAGGUGUGACUACUUUACCAAAAGACUCUAGAAUGGACCAAUCAAGUUAGGUGUCUAAAUCUAUAUCUUUUAUAUAGAACUCCUUUAUUUUUAGAUAAACCUGUUAAUUUUAUGACUUAUGAACAUAUUUAGCAAUGUAAUCCUUUUAGGAUAGACUUUUUAAAAUCAAAUUUACAAUGUUUUAGUAAAUUUUUAUUUAAAAUAACUUUGUAUACUUAAUAUAUCUAUAUAGUUAUUUACAUAAUAGCUAACCCAUCAGUACUUGCAAAGUCUCUAUUUCUGUAAGCCCGAAAAUUGAGUUCUGAAAUACUAUUAUCCACAUAACUUCUAUAUCAAAGUACAAUCUAAUGGAUUGAUCAAUGAAACUGUCGGUAUCUCCACAACUUUUCAAUUAAAUAGAAAGUUUCAAUUAAACAGGAUACUAAGUGUGCCUACUGCUCCUCAAGACAAU
Hydra vulgaris (swiftwater hydra) is the source of this 4955-nucleotide long non-coding RNA. RefSeq lists it as uncharacterized. The record is from RefSeq and is a predicted model, not a curated record. NCBI's taxonomy places the organism in Eukaryota, Metazoa, Cnidaria, Hydrozoa, Anthoathecata, Hydridae.